AACGGGGAAGCUUGCUUCCGCCGACGACCGGCGCACGGGUGCGUAACGCGUAUACAAUCUACCUUGUACUGGGGUAUAGCCUUUAGAAAUGAAGAUUAAUCCCCCAUAGUCUCUUAGAGUGGCAUCACUUCUAGAGUAAAGGUUACGGUAUAAGAUGAGUAUGCGUUCUAUUAGUUUGUUGGUGUGGUAACGGCACACCAAGACUACGAUAGAUAGGGGCCCUGAGAGGGGGAUCCCCCACACUGGUACUGAGACACGGACCAGACUCCUACGGGAGGCAGCAGUGAGGAAUAUUGGACAAUGGAGGCAACUCUGAUCCAGCCAUGCCGCGUGCAGGAAGACUGCCCUAUGGGUUGUAAACUGCUUUUAUACAGGAAGAAACACCUCUACGUGUAGAGGCUUGACGGUACUGUAAGAAUAAGGAUCGGCUAACUCCGUGCCAGCAGCCGCGGUAAUACGGAGGAUCCAAGCGUUAUCCGGAAUCAUUGGGUAUAAAGGGUCCGUAGGUGGAUAACUAAGUCAGAGGUGAAAUCUUGCAGCUCAACUGUAAAAUUGCCUUUGAAACUGGUUAUCUUGAGUUAUUAUGAAGUAGUUAGAAUAUGUAGUGUAGCGGUGAAAUGCAUAGAUAUUACAUAGAAUACCAAUUGCGAAGGCAGAUUACUAAUAAUUAACUGACACUGAUGGACGAAAGCGUGGGUAGCGAACAGGAUUAGAUACCCUGGUAGUCCACGCCGUAAACGAUGGUUACUAGCUGUUUGGACUUCGGUCUGAGUGGCUAAGCGAAAGUGAUAAGUAACCCACCUGGGGAGUACGUUCGCAAGAAUGAAACUCAAAGG
RNAcentral lists this ribosomal RNA (836 nucleotides) under uncultured marine bacterium. RNAcentral describes it as "bacterial SSU rRNA". It matches the Rfam family "Bacterial small subunit ribosomal RNA", at positions 70 to 907 of the family's 1533-position model. The record is from RNAcentral.